UUCACGUUCAAACGGCCUACAGUCUGCAGUCAACGUGUCCAAUCGGACGUCUCCAGCGAACAGCGAACGAAAACCUUUUGUCACGCGCUUCCAGAGACCGCGGGACGCCCAGCUUAUUGGUCUUCUCUGCUUAGUGUCUGGGGUGGAACGGCGAUGCUGUUCCCCUGCAGCGGGCGUAGGCUAUUCUUUGCAAUCCAUUUAGACAUUUUCUUCCUUUCCCGGAAGGAAGGGUUGGACAAGCUGCACCAGUAUUUCUUUUCUGUUGCAUUAAUUUGCUUUUCUGCUACGGUACAGCAAAUUUCCAGCGGCAACCGAUUGCCAGGCACCGCCCCUUCACGCCGUUCUGUGUAGAUUUCGGCCCACAGCGAAUCCACAACAAAGCGUCUUUUGUGGUGAGAGGAUCGGGACACGCCAAACUGUGACUUUCCGCUUCAAAACAGCUGAAUGAGGAUGCCCGUCUCCGCACGCAAAAGUAGAGCCAUAUUUGGUAGCGUUCAACCGCUGUGGCUAAUUGCAGUCGUCGACUGUCAGGUACGAGACACUGGCUGUCCAUCGAAAGGCGAGGUCAGACGCUUUGCUGUGGCCAGCGGCGUACUUCCCAGGGAGAGAGUGGCUGUGGUACAUGCCAACUGUCACGUUUUCAACGCGAGAAAGAUACCACACACGGGGAAAAGUAUGCCGCGCCCGCAGGCGAAGCAUAUCGCUUCGGAAUACUAGAAGCAAGGAUGGAGGGCAGCGUUAAGACGUGAGGUAAAAACCGGGUCAUUAGAUUCUCUCGGGGAAAGUAGAAGACCGUGUUCCGAUUGACGAAGGACGGCAAACAGGAUUCACAGCAGACAGAGUGGGAGGUCAGUCGCUGACGGGCCACCCAGCUGAGUAAGCGUUCCAGUGACGCUCCAGCGGAGCCGUGAUCACUAUGGUAGAAGAAAUGCGGUUUACGUGUAGAGUUUUAGCGAUCGAUGUUCGACACAGCGGUAGUACUGCCACUCAUGUAACUGUUUGGAGCAGGUCUAGUCUGGCCCGGUCCCCUCAAGUUCCUAGAAUUCAGAUGAACAGGUUCGCUGGGGUCUUCUGCGUCUGGACAGGGUAAAUGGAAAAAUCAC
Molecule: long non-coding RNA, 1103 nt
Filed under: Toxoplasma gondii VEG
Lineage: Eukaryota; Apicomplexa; Conoidasida; Eucoccidiorida; Sarcocystidae
Source: RNAcentral